RNAcentral lists this ribosomal RNA (490 nucleotides) under uncultured bacterium. Its description in RNAcentral is "partial 16S ribosomal RNA". It matches the Rfam family "Bacterial small subunit ribosomal RNA", at positions 28 to 507 of the family's 1533-position model. The record is from RNAcentral.
GAUGAACGCUCGCUACAGGCUUAACACAUGCAAGUCGAGGGGCAGCAUGGUCUUAGCUUGCUAAGGCCGAUGGCGACCGGCGCACGGGUGAGUAACACGUAUCCAACCUGCCGUCUACUCUUGGACAGCCUUCUGAAAGGAAGAUUAAUACAAGAUGGCAUCAUGAGUCCGCAUGUUCACAUGAUUAAAGGUAUUCCGGUAGACGAUGGGGAUGCGUUCCAUUAGAUAGUAGGCGGGGUAACGGCCCACCUAGUCUUCGAUGGAUAGGGGUUCUGAGAGGAAGGUCCCUCACAUUGGAACUGAGACACGGGCCAAACUCCUACGGGAGGCAGCAGUGAGGAAUAUUGGUCAAUGGGCGCAGGCCUGAACCAGCCAAGUAGCGUGAAGGAUGACUGCCCUAUGGGUGGUAAACUUCUUUUAGAAAGGAAUAAAGUCGGGUAUGGAUACCCGUUUGCAUGUACUUGAUGAAUAAGGAUCGGCUAACUCCGUG